GUGGACGCCAGUCUGCGUGGAGCCGACCUUGAAAUACCACCCUUUAAUGUUUGAUGUUCUAACGUGGACCCGUAAUCCGGGUUGCGGACAGUGUCUGGUGGGUAGUUUGACUGGGGCGGUCUCCUCCUAAAGAGUAACGGAGGAGCACGAAGGUUGGCUAAUCCUGGUCGGACAUCAGGAGGUUAGUGCAAUGGCAUAAGCCAGCUUGACUGCGAGCGUGACGGCGCGAGCAGGUGCGAAAGCAGGUCAUAGUGAUCCGGUGGUUCUGAAUGGAAGGGCCAUCGCUCAACGGAUAAAAGGUACUCCGGGGAUAACAGGCUGAUACCGCCCAAGAGUUCAUAUCGACGGCGGUGUUUGGCACCUCGAUGUCGGCUCAUCACAUCCUGGGGCUGAAGUAGGUCCCAAGGGUAUGGCUGUUCGCCAUUUAAAGUGGUACGCGAGCUGGGUUUAGAACGUCGUGAGACAGUUCGGUCCCUAUCUGCCGUGGGCGCUGGAGAACUGAGGGGGGCUGCUCCUAGUACGAGAGGACCGGAGUGGACGCAUCACUGGUGUUCGGGUUGUCAUGCCAAUGGCACUGCCCGGUAGCUAAAUGCGGAAGAGAUAAGUGCUGAAAGCAUCUAAGCACGAAACUUGCCCCGAGAUGAGUUCUCCCUGAGACUUAG
RNAcentral lists this ribosomal RNA (662 nucleotides) under Salmonella enterica. RNAcentral describes it as "partial 23S ribosomal RNA". It matches the Rfam family "Bacterial large subunit ribosomal RNA", at positions 2164 to 2824 of the family's 2925-position model. The record is from RNAcentral. RNAcentral also lists the same sequence under 2 other names. Lineage: Bacteria; Pseudomonadati; Pseudomonadota; Gammaproteobacteria; Enterobacterales; Enterobacteriaceae.